AAGACGCCUUCGCCACAGGUGGUCCCACAGGGAUUACAAGAUUUCACUCCUACCCCUGUAGUACCUCUUACCUCUCCCGGUUCCAAGCCUGGCAGUAUCCCCCGAAAGCCUAAUAGUUGAGCUAUCAGAUUUCCCGGAAGACUGACCAAACCGGCUACGGACCCUUUAGACCCAAUAAUCACGAUCACCACUCGGGCCGCCGGUGUUACCGCGGCGGCUGGCACCGGUCUUGCCCGGCCCUUGCUAACAGGUGUAGUUUACACACCUGGACAGCCAGCAUAUGAUGCUAGCACUCGGUGUCCCCUUAUCACGGUUUCCCGCAUUGUAAAGUUUUCGCGCCUGCUGCGCCCCGUAGGGCCUGGAUUCAUGUCUCAGAAUCCAUCUCCGGGCUCUUGCUCUCACAACCCGUACCCGUUGUUGGCUAGUAGGUACAUUACACCCACUACUACCUGAUAGGCCGCAGACCCAUCCUUGGGCAGACGAAUCCAUUUGACGCAUAAAGCAUUCCAGCAUAUAUGCGUUAUCCGGAAUUAUCCCCAGUUUCCCGGGGUUAUGCCGGACCCAAGGGCAGGUUAUCCACGUGUUACUGAGCAGUACGCCAUGUUCACGAAGAACAUAUGACUCGCAUGGCUUAGGCGAACACCGAUAGCAGUAACCUCUGGCAGGAUCAACCGGA
Molecule: ribosomal RNA, 676 nt
Filed under: unidentified archaeon
Lineage: Archaea
Description: partial 16S ribosomal RNA
Source: RNAcentral